GAGCAAAUUUAGGGGAGCCAAAAUAGAGCUGAGAGCCCCUCACCUAUAGGUGAGGGGGACCCUUGGAACCUGUUCGGGUAAUACCGACGAAGGGAAAAUAUGAAACAGUAUC
This 112-nucleotide non-coding RNA is filed under the name Candidatus Roizmanbacteria bacterium. RNAcentral describes it as "TPP". It matches the Rfam family "TPP riboswitch aptamer (THI element)". Rfam says of the family: Vitamin B(1) in its active form thiamin pyrophosphate (TPP) is an essential coenzyme that is synthesised by coupling of pyrimidine and thiazole moieties in bacteria. The record is from RNAcentral. Lineage: Bacteria; Candidatus Roizmaniibacteriota.